UAACAAUCCCAAAAACGGAUAUUAAAUUUCAAAACAAUGAAGUAUUAAAACCAAUAGCUAACAUAUUAGAGGACCUAGACAAAGGAAAAAGAAUUAAUAUCAUUGAAGAAGAAGAAGAAAGUAAUCAAGAUUCAGAAUCUGAUAUUUAAGAAAUAAAUAAAAUAAGAAACAAUUUUACAUCAAAAAAGCCUUACUACAAAAAACAUACUCCACCUGAUUUAUUAUUUGAAGAAAAUCAAUAUAAAACCAGUAAUUA
Molecule: long non-coding RNA, 256 nt
Filed under: Brassica napus (rape)
Lineage: Eukaryota; Viridiplantae; Streptophyta; Magnoliopsida; Brassicales; Brassicaceae
Description: long non-coding RNA (BNAP_LNC015878)
Source: RNAcentral